ACACACACAGUUAUUUAUAAAUGAUGUAUCAUUUUAUUAUUCUUCAAAACAUCAAAAGUCUAUAAACAACACACACAACUCACAAUGAUUAAGCUCAGUCAUCUUGAGUAUUUUGUUGACUUUCAGUCUUACAAACUGGCUUUACACAUAUUUUUCAAUUUUGACAUUAUGAAGGGAUAGUGUCAAGGUAGGAGGAUAGAACAUGUUUUAUUAAAGUUUCUUUACCUGAUUUAACUGUUAAAUAUUUAAACACAUGGUAUAGGGGCCUCUUGUUCCAGGUUCUGCACAUGUUCUGGGUAAAGCUUUUAGCUCGUUUCUCAGCUUUUGUCCCCACUCCAAAUCCAUUCUCCACAUGGAAGCCAUGGAAGCCAGACAGUAAUUGUUCCAAACAGGUAUAGUUCAGGUCACUCCCCUACUGGAAACUCUCUAGCAGCUCCUUGUUGUCCUUUAAAGAAAGUCUGAAUUCCCAACAGAAGCCUGCAAGCCCACCCCUUCACGACCUGACUCUUGCUCACCUUUCCUGCCAUUAAUCUGCCCUUCUCACUCUCAGUUUUGCCUCUCCAAAUUCUGAAAGCAUCCCUUCUCCUUCUCAAAUACACCAAGUUCAUCCCUGCCUCGGUAUCUUUUCUCUUGCAGAAUGCUCUUCGCAGAUCUUCAUACAGCUAAUUCUUUCUCAUUAUUUAGGUCUCAGUUCAAAAGUUGUCUCCUUCAGGGGCACCCAGCUGGUUUAGUUGGUGGAGCAUGUGACUCUUGAUCUCAGAAUUUGAGUUCAAGCCCCAUGUUGGCCAUGGAACCUACUUUAUAAAUAAAUAUAUACAUACAUACAUAUAUACAUACAUACAUACAUAAAGUUGCCUCCUUCAAAAGUCUUUGCUUUUUUUCUUCCCACAUCUACUGAGCAAUUACUGCAUGCCUGGCACUUUACUAAGUGCUCUAUAUCUGUUAACCCAUUUAAUUCUCCCAACAACCCUAUAAGGCAGCUGCUUUAUGACCUCAGAGAGUUUAAGUGAUUUGCUCAAGUCACACAGCUGAGAAGUGGUAGUGCUGGGAUUUGAAACCAGGCUCCAGAGCCCCAUUCUUAAUCUUGGGCUGUUACUGUUCUGGUCACCCAAAAUAAGAUAACGCCCUCCCUGUCCUAGUCAUUGUCACAUGACCCUGUCUUAUUUCUUCAUUUUGUCACUCUCUAAAACUAAUUUGUUUGUCAUGUGUUUCUUUGUGAAGAUUGGGACUUUUAUCAUCCUUGCUUAGCACAAUAACAGCAGAGCUGAGACUGGACCUGGCACACAGUAAUAACUUGUAUAUAUUUAUUAAAUAGGUUAAUAAACAAUUGAAUGGGGAUCCCUGGGUGGCGCAGUGGUUUGGCGCCUGCCUUUGGCCCAGGGCGCGAUCCUGGAGACCCGGGAUCGAGUCCCACGUCGGGCUCCCAGUGCAUGGGGCCUGCCUCUCCCUCUGCUUGUGUCUGCCUCUCCCUCUCUCUGUGUGACUAUCAUAAAUAAAAUUUAAAAAAAUUUUUUUAAAAUAAAUAAACAAUUGAAUGUAGCUUCUAAAAACAAUACAAAACAAAAACUAGUCAUUUUUUAAAAUCUUGAUUAGUUCAACAUGUAUUCUGAAGUUUUAUUUAUUUUUUUCAAAGAUUUAUUUAUUCUAGAGAGAAAGAAAGCUUGUGUGCAAGUGGGGGGAGGAGCAGAGGAAGAGAAUCUCCAAGCAGAUUCCCUGCUGAGUGGGGAUUCCCCAUGCAGGGCUCAGUCCCAUGACCAAUGAGAUCAUGACCUGAGCUGAAACCAAGAGUCUGAUGCUCAACUAAGCCACCUAGGUGCCCCAUUGUAUGCUAAAGUUUUAAUGGAUAAAAUUAUAUCAUGCCUAAGAUUUCCUUUAAAAUGCUCCAGGGGGAUCCCUGGGUGGCGCAGCAGUUUGGCGCCUGCCUUUGGCCCAGGGUGCGAUCCUGGAGACCCGGGAUCGAAUCCCACAUCGGGCUCCCAGUGCAUGGGGCCUGCUUCUCCCUCUGCCUGUGUCUCUGCCUCUCUCUCUCUCUCUGUGA
Molecule: long non-coding RNA, 2038 nt
Filed under: Canis lupus familiaris (dog)
Lineage: Eukaryota; Metazoa; Chordata; Mammalia; Carnivora; Canidae
Description: lncRNA (ENSCAFG00000055006.1)
Source: RNAcentral